This 90-nucleotide transfer RNA is filed under the name Phycicoccus sp. Soil803. RNAcentral describes it as "tRNA-Met". Lineage: Bacteria; Bacillati; Actinomycetota; Actinomycetes; Micrococcales; Intrasporangiaceae. The record is from RNAcentral.
GGCGGGGGAGAGGCUGCGGAACACCUGAGACGUGGGCUGGGCUGGCUCAUAACCCGGAGGUCGCAGGUUCAAAUCCUGCCCCCGCUACCA